This 449-nucleotide ribosomal RNA is filed under the name uncultured bacterium. RNAcentral describes it as "bacterial SSU rRNA". It matches the Rfam family "Bacterial small subunit ribosomal RNA", at positions 354 to 796 of the family's 1533-position model. The record is from RNAcentral.
GUAGGGAAUCUUCCGCAAUGGACGCAAGUCUGACGGAGCAACGCCGCGUGAGUGAUGAAGGUUUUCGGAUCGUAAAACUCUGUUGCGAGGGAAGAAACCGUGCCAGCUAACUACUGGCACCUUGACGGUACCUCGCCAGAAAGCCACGGCUAACUACGUGCCAGCAGCCGCGGUAAUACGUAGGUGGCAAGCGUUGUCCGGAAUUAUUGGGCGUAAAGCGCGCGCAGGCGGUCCCUUAAGUCUGAUGUGAAAGCCCACGGCUCAACCGUGGAGGGUCAUUGGAAACUGGGGGACUUGAGUGCAGAAGAGGAAAGUGGAAUUCCAUGUGUAGCGGUGAAAUGCGUAGAGAUGUGGAGGAACACCAGUGGCGAAGGCGACUUUCUGGUCUGUAACUGACGCUGAGGCGCGAAAGCGUGGGGAGCAAACAGGAUUAGAUACCCGUGUAGUCC